AUGAAAGCAGAACUGGAACACAGAUCAGUUACCUCUACUGCUAGGGUCAAAACUCUAGAAAUUCAAAGACAAGAUUGUUUCCCCCUAGUCACAAGCAAACAUUCAUCUGCAUCAGCACCACGUCCCUCUUGCAUCACUGCAGAAGUUACCAUGGCUUUCAUCAGGAGUAAGGACAGAUCUAGUCAGAACCAAAUUGAUAGCUUUUGCUUAGAAGACACGAGAAAAACAGGAGUGUUGCAUAGUGAACUGAGUUUUACUGGUAGAGCUGUGUGUGGGGAAGUGAGUCGAUUGCCUGCAUCUAUUAUGACUAGCCCAACCCAGUUCUGGAAUAACAAGAAUGUUGCAAGGCAGACAUCCUUCAGCAGGGCAGUGUGUGGAGGAGUGGGAUCAGUGCUAACCUCCAACAACGCGCUGAUCUCGUGGAACAUCUUAUUUAGCCACCAAGGUGAAGAAGAAGUGUACAGCAGAAGUGACACAGGAUCACUGAUACAAAUGCAUCUGCUGAGCCACAGCAUAAUGAGAAGCUGCAUCAUUAAGAACAACUGCAAGGUCUUGAAGGUGAUCAGAGCAUUGAGGAUAUAGGUAUCCAGCUGUGGUGUUGUCAAGAUGUCCUCAAGAGCACUUGUUCACACUGGCACUUUUUUUCUAAGAAGGAACCAAACUAAUGGGAACCUGAGGAAAUAUAAAUACAGUAAGUGGACUGCACAUUAGCUGUUUUUAUAGAAGCAAUAGAUAAGUUCCAUAAAAUGUACCUGCAGACCUUGAAAGGAAUUGUCUUCUCAGGGAGCUCUUCUACCUUCUUACAGUUUGGUGUACAAACACUGUUUUCAUCCAUAAUACAGAUUUCUCCUCUUCUACAUAUAUUUGGUAAUUGUUCCAACACUGCAGUAAGCUUAACUUCUCACAGCUGCAUCUUUUCAUAUUAGACAAAAAGAAGUACUUUGUGACUGGACAAUUUCUGAGCACUAGCUUAAGUAUUUGCAGUUCACUUACUGUAUUUAUAUUUCCCCAGGCUCCCACUAGUUUGAUUCCUUCUUAGUAAAAAUUGUGCUAUCAUUCCUCCAUGCUUUACUGGAGGCUGUACUGCAGAACACGCACACCAGCACGCGAAAUGGUCACAAAACAAAGAAUCAUAAAAUCAUAGAAUGUAGGAAAGGACCUUAGAGAUUAUCAAGUUCCAACCCAAGUGCCAUGGGCAGGGUUGCCACCUACUAGAUCAGGCUUCCCAGGGAAAGAAUGAUGUAAUGAAUUAGAAUGUUGAAAUGAAUGAUACAUCCCAACUUUGCUGAUUGAGAGGUAAUGCUGAGGCAGUGUAUCCGUCUGAACGCUUCUCCAUGAGGUCUCUCACAAUUGUGUUGGUGGUCUUUAUCCUCCAGAGAAGAAUUCAGAUGUCAUCAGGUUGAAGCUGGCUUUGAAUGUACUAGUUCGUGCACAUCAUGCAGGCUCCUGGGACUAUUCUGCCUAAGCCUGCGUGUGGACUGUUUUGCUUUAUUCCCUUAAUAUUGUGCAAUGUGUAUCAAUUUAUACUGCACAUAAAACUAGAAAAACAAACAAACAAAAAAACGUAUUUUUUGUUUCCCAGGCAAUAGUCUAUCCAUUCAAAUUAAUCACUGAUUUCAAGCUGAAAAUAGCCUGAGUUAGCACUGCAUUGAGCCUUCCCCCUGUCCUGGUUUCAGUCCAGACAACAUUAAUACCACACUGAUGGUUUGACUGCUGCUGAGUGAUAGCUGUGUACCUGGCACCCUUGGCAGCAGGCAGGCUGCAUUACAAGCUGUGUUGGGCCACAGGUUGGACACGCCUCAUCUAACGGUUCAUAUUUGCAAAGCACUAUGUCCAAAUUCUAUAAUUUUGACAAAAAACAAUCCAUCCUUCUUUCUAGACUUUUGUUAAGAACUAUGAUAAUAUCUGGUUUUAAACGAGAGACAUUUUUAACAAAACACUAGCUUUGUUCAUUUUUCUCAUUAGUUAGAAAUGUGUGUGAUUUGUUGUUGUUGUUGUUUUUCUUAAAGCCAUAGCACUGGAGUUAAGCAAUUUCAUGGAAAUCCCAGUUGCUGUUUGAUAAAGAAGGAGAUAAUUGCUGUCACUCAGGGCAGUGGAGCAAGUCCUGAGAACACAAAACUGUCAAGAAAAGAAAGAAGGGGAAAAAAGCAUUAUGUAUAUUUAUUUUUUCGAAUGGUCAGAGUAGAAUAGGGAAUUUUAACAAAAGCAACGGCCAGAUUCUGCACCAGGGAAGGGGCAACCCUGGCUAUACACAUACAUUGGAGAUAAGACACAGGAGAGCAACCCUGCUGAAAGAGAUUUGGAGGCUUUGGUUGACAGCAAGUUGCAAAUGAAUCAAGAGUGUGCUCAGGCAGCCUGGAAGGCCAGGGUAUUGUGGGGCACAUCAAGCAUAGCAUGGCUAGCCAGUCAAGGGAAGGGACAGUCCCACUCUACACUGCACUGGUGCAGCCUCACCUUGAGUGAGUACUGUGCAUAGUUUUGGUUCACAGUACACAGUGACAAUGGGUGUUAUUCAGCUGAAUAAUAUAAUUGUGCUUUUCAAAUAAAAUGCUGUACGCAUUCAUAUGUUCAGUGAUGCGACACAUAGCAGCUACUAGCAGUUUUUCACUCAGUAAAAAACGUGGCUUUGCUUUAUAUUUAUUACUCUUUAGUGGUAAAGAAUUGUUAAUAGCUUCCCUGCCAGACAGUGUUAUGGAUCUGACAAAACUUCAUUGCUCUUCUUCUGUUUUUCACUGUAACAAAGAUCUCUCAGAUUGUACAAUUUCAGGAGGUACUGUAUCACAUUUGAAAACUGUGCUAUGCUUAUUCUGCCUUUCCACACAUUACUUAAUUCCACGCACAGUUCUUUGAGACAGUUUCAUGUAUUUUAAAAAUGAGUAAUGGACUCUUAGCCUGUUCCUCAGUAUAAACACUUUGUUUCUUCCCAAAAUAAUCUGACCUCCAGUUCUUCAAGAACCAGUGUCUUACACUCAGCACUUCUUUAAGAGUUUCCUAUAAAUUAAUAUUUUUUUUUCUUGCUUUGAACAUCUGAGAUGCAAGAUCCUCUUUGUCUUGAAACUUAACAGAGAAGUCACCUACUCAAUGUAAGCUCUGGACAGCCUUCACUUUACUCACAUUCAUUUUAAUUCCCACAAAUAUGCCCUGUAUUUUAUUUCAGUGCCUUGUUGCUAUUAGUUGACUUUGCCUUGUGGAACUUUCCCAAGUCUAUGACUAUUUAUCAGCAUUUGAAUUAUAGUAGCACCUCGACUUAAUGUGGGAGAAGUGGCCACUAACAUUCAGAUUGGAUAGCAAUUGUGAGCUUAUUGUCAUGUACCCUUGUUCAGAGUUUUAAAGGCCUUUGGCACUCUAUUGCUUAAUCUUCCAGCUAUUCAUUUACACCUACAGAACCAGGAAGCCAUGAUGUCAGUUCCAUCUGUUUCCUGGCAUAGGUAAUCUGUUACAGUGCACUACUUUCACCUACCAUGGCAUGUCUGGUGCAGAUAACUGAUAAUCCAGUUUGGGAAUAAUCUCAUGUUCCAACCUGUGCCACUCAAGAAUUGAGUGAUGAAGCCCUGUUUACUUUCUUAAAGACUGAGAUGUAACAAACCUAGCAGAAGGAUUUAAUGUAUUCAAACUGGGUGGCUGAAUUUCUGUACGUAGAUUGCAAGCCUGCAAUCAACUUUCUCUGUAAUGUUUUUCACAGACUUAAAAACAUGCUUUUUUUUUUUUUGUACUCUUUAUUCCAAAUUGUUCCUUUCAAUCUGAUGAUAAUGGCAUGCAGGAAAAGAAAAAAUCUCUAAGGAGAUGCUCAAAAAGCAAGCGCUACUUGCUUUAUUUGUUAGCCAUGAGUAGCAGUAAAUUUACAGUUGUGAAAAAAGGACAGAAUUCACAGAGCUCUGAAGGUGUAAGGGGGAAGUGUCAAGAAAACAGCUGGUGAAAACUGUGAAACUCUUUGUAAAGAAAUAUGGCAACUGAAACUUCCAGUGUUUGGCUACAGAAAGAUAAGCAUUAGGUUAGUUGGCAUUAGUUUAUGUAAGAUUUGCCUUCAGUAGGAUUUCAAAAUCUAAUACUCAAUUAGUAGCUUAGAUCUGAGUUGUCCCAUAUAAAGUAGUCAAGACAAAAUAAUUUUUACUUCAGAUUAACUAAUCUGAAGUCUGAAGACACAGCUCAGUUGCCUAAAAUCAAACUGACGUUAAUGAUUUGUAGCUGGAGCUUGGCAGUAUGUGACAAAGUUGGCCUAGACCUGAUUGUAUUAUUAUUAUUAGAGAAACAUGAGUUGCAUCUUCUGUUUAUUGAGGCCCAUGCUUGCUUAAUGAGCACUGUCAUGGUUUCUGACCGUGGAAAUAAACUUAUGAAUCUACUGCCUCUUCCAGGAUCAGAAGAGGGGGAAAACAGCAAGGACAGAGACAGCAACCCCAAUUGCUUUGUCAAUAACACAGACUUUUUUUAAAAUUUUCUCUUAAAAGCAGACUCAGAGGUAGAUGUUCACCUCCCAGCCCAUUUAAGGUGUGGUCUGUCUUGCAGUGGGAUUCAACAUUGGCAGCAAGUUGAGCAUCAGUCAACAGUGCUUCCAGGCAGCCAGGAAGGCCAACUGUAUCCUGUAGUGCAUCACGGAAGGCAUGGAUAUGUGGCUGAGGGAAGGGAUUGUACCACCCUACACUGUGCUGGUACUCACCUUGAAUACAAAAGGGACAUAAAAUUAUUAGAGAGUGUCCAAAGGAGGGCUACAAAGAAGGUAGAGGGUCUAGAGGGGAAGAAAUAAGAGGAGCAGCUGAGGUCCUUUGGUUUGUUCAGCCCAGAGAAGAUGAUGCUGAGAAGAGAUCUCAUGGCAGCUACAGCUCCUCAAGAGGGGAGUGGAGGGGCAAUGCUGACCUCUGCUCUCUGGUGACAGCAACAGGGCCUGAGGAAACAGCAUGGAGCUGCAAUGGGGAGAGUGAUGUUGGAUAUCAGGAAAAGGUUUUUCACUGUGGGUGGUCAGGCACUGGAACAGGCUCCCAGGGCAGUGGUCAUGGUGCCAAACUGCCAGAGUUCAAGAAGCAUCUGGACAGUGCUCUCAGACAUAUGGUCUGAUUUUUGGGGGGUCCUGUGUGGAGCUAGGAGUUGGACUCAAUGAUCUUUGUGGAUCCCUUCCAACCUGGGAUAAUAAUACCAUGUUUCUAUUAACUUUUUAAAUAUAGGGUCAAGCUUUUAGUAUUUAUUGAAAAAUAAUUGUUCUCCCACAGUGCUGCUUCUGAAGUUGUUAAGGUCACUGAGAUAUCAUCAGUGCUAUCAAUAAGAUUAAUAGUGU
Molecule: long non-coding RNA, 5266 nt
Filed under: Meleagris gallopavo (turkey)
Lineage: Eukaryota; Metazoa; Chordata; Aves; Galliformes; Phasianidae
Description: lncRNA (ENSMGAG00000017626.1)
Source: RNAcentral